RNAcentral lists this ribosomal RNA (379 nucleotides) under uncultured eukaryote. RNAcentral's name for it is "partial 18S ribosomal RNA". It matches the Rfam family "Eukaryotic small subunit ribosomal RNA", at positions 592 to 976 of the family's 1831-position model. The record is from RNAcentral.
CAAUAGCGUAUAUUUAUGUUGUUGCAGUUAAAAAGCUCGUAGUUGGAUUUCGGAUGGGAUUUGCCGGUCCGUCGUUACGAUGUGCACUGGCCAGUCCUAUCUUGUUGUCGGGGACUAGCUCCUUGGAUUCACUUCCUGGGACUAGGAGCUGACGAGGUUACUUUGAGUAAAUUAGAGUGUUCAAAGCAAGCCUACGCUCUGAAUACAUUAGCAUGGAAUAACACGAUAGGACUCUGGCUUAUCUUGUUGGUCUGUGAGACCAGAGUAAUGAUUAAGAGGGACAGUCGGGGACAUUCGUAUUUCAUUGUCAGAGGUGAAAUUCUUGGAUUUAUGAAAGACGAACUUCUGCGAAAGCAUUUGUCAAGGAUGUUUUCAUUAA